This is an RNA transcript of Talpa occidentalis (Iberian mole), 3000 nucleotides long. RefSeq lists it as uncharacterized. The transcript has 7 exons. Lineage: Eukaryota; Metazoa; Chordata; Mammalia; Eulipotyphla; Talpidae. The record is from RefSeq and is a predicted model, not a curated record.
AGAAAGGGCCCUGAGGUCUGAGUACUCACAUGCUUGCUUCUCCACCCCACGCUGGCUUUACCCACUGGCAGCUACUGAUUCAUGGCAUCCCAGAAGUUCGAGUCUGAAGACUGAGUGUAAAUUCCUAAACAUUUUUUUCUUUAAACCAUGUUAUCAGUCCAUUUCUUCUGUCAUUGGGAGGAUGGGACGGGGGGACUACGCACAGCACCUGGUGGAGAUGUUGGUGGCAUGAAGUCAGAUGGCAAAUCUAACUUGUAAAGUGGGGUGUGAGUACAGGGGCUUGCCGUUCUCGUGAGCCUCAACUCUUUUUCCUCUCCGCAGUUGAGAGACUGUCAAAGGAAAAAUAUCUUGGGGUCUCCUGCAGGAGUUAAGAAAAAGAAGAAACAUGGCAGUAGGCCAGAGACAACCACUUCUGGUGGCUAUGAGUCAUCGAAAGGUGUAAGUCUUGCUCAGCAAGGCUUCCUGGGAGAGGAGUUGCUCCAGGGCAGCUGAGUGAGAAGUGAAGAGCAUGAAAAAAGUGGUCCCAUCAGAGCAUGGAGGUGACCGGCUCACUCCAAAUGGAGCAGCACACCAAGAGCGAGCUGGCCAAGAAACUGGCUUCCAAGAGCGAGAUGGCCAGCUACAGGAGAAGCUGGCAGAGCUGAAGGAGCUGGUGGAGGAGAAACAUCAAGAAGCUGAGUAGCUGCAGCAGCAGUGGGACCAGGACCUUAGUCACCUUCAGCAGUACAUAGCCGCCUACCAGCAGCUCAUGACCGUCUACCAGCAGCUGGCCAAUGAGAAGGACAUCCCGCAGAAGCGGGUGCUGCUUAACACCCAGCUUGUCAACCGGAUGCAGCACGAAGAGCAGGGCAAGAUGGAGGGCCGCCUGAAGGCUGGCAGCAAGCAGAACCAGCAGCUGCAGGCCCCACUGAACCUCAUGGCUUGGACUGGAGAAAGUGAGUGGGACUUCAGCAGAGGAGGGGUUUGCAAGAGUGGAAGCCACCUGUAAAGGCCAGGAAGACCACAGAGCAGGUUUUCUGAUCCAGCAGACCAGGACAACUUGGAUCCUUCCCCUUUGGAGACUUCCUGGCGCAGGGCUGCACAGAGAGGAAGGGGCAGAGCUUCCUGGCUUUCAGGGCUACUUCAGAACACAGAGGUUCUCUGAGCUUCUCAGGCGUGGCUGCACAGGCAGCUAAAAGAGCAAAAGCUGCUCUGCCAGUGCCUGGCUCAGCAGGCAGCCCCAUGGGACCAGGAGCCCGAGAAGAUGGAGAUCCUGGGCCCCGGGGGGAAAGUGUGCCUGGGGAGACCCACCAGGCCCUUCAGGGAGCCAUGGAGAAACUGCAGGGCCGCUUUACCGAGCUCAUGCAGGAGAAAGUAGAAUUACAGGAGCAGAUUGAAGAGCUGGAGCAUCAAUGUAUCCAGAUGUCUGGAGAGACAAACACCAUCGGUGAGUGGAGAGGCCGGUGCCCUGGGGCCAUGGUGCUAGCUGAGCUGCCUGCGCGCCCUCCCCCUAGGAGAAUACAUCAUUCUCUGCCAGAACCAGAGAGCAGUGAUGAGGGAGGAGCACUGAGAAGACAGAAGGCGGAGUCCAUAAUCCAGCUGGCCCAGGACAAAGAGGAGAUGAAGGUAGUCUGUGCUCUGGCUGGGGGCGGGGCGGGCUUCUGAGCAUCUCUGCUUCCAGGUGAAGCUGUUAGAGCUGUGAGUGCUGGUUUUGCGGCUGGUGGAGGAGCGAAAUGAAUGGCGGGUGAAGCUCCAAGCAGCUGACCAGAAUCCUGCUGCUGAGCCCACUAGCGCACCCCCGGCCCCCAAAGAGAACAGAGUGAUGUGAGCCUUGCCGUCAAUGUGCAGCUGACCCAGGGAGUAGCCCAGCUGGGUCAGACUCCUCUUGAGAACGCCUCCGCGCAGCAGAUCAUUCAGCUGCUUCAAGGAAUACAGAACCCCCAGGAACGCGUCACCACUGGAAACAUCCUGUGCAUUCCCUUCUACCAGGCUGAUGCCAACGAGGAGGUGAAGAUAAUGGUGGUCUAGGCCUCCGGUAUGGGGUGGGGGCUCUGCCCACACCUGGCCCUCACCAACCCAUCCCUGUUGCCCAGGCUUUCCCACCCUGUCCUUUGGCUCUCCUUCCCAGUCGUCCUUUCAUCCCUCGGCUUAAAAAAGAUUAACAACAACUCCCCUACGUAAUAGGGGGAAACAGGUGCAGACCCUAGCCUCUUAGGUCAGGGCUGUGUCUUAAUCUCUGGACUAAUCAAACUUCCAGAGACAAGGAGCUAGAAACAUCCAGCUAGUUAUUUAAGGGGCUCCCCUCUACAACAUAGGGGCUCCUUGAUGACCAAUUGAAUCCUUACCAGGCCUUCCUGCAGAGGGCCUAGGUUAUAUCAGGCAAUUUGGGGCCACAUGCCCCCGAUCCCAUACCAACCAUGUAGAGAGGGGCAGCACUUUGAAGGCCCUGCACAGGGGCUAAGCCCAGACAGAGAUACCAGCUGGUGCAGGUGGGCACCAACAACUGUCUAGACUGUAGCCACAGAGAUAGCACUAGCUUAUUUGAGACCACCCAGAUCCACAAAGGGGUGGCCUCCACUUGCUGUCUUUACAAAAGUCCCAUGGGCCUCUGUGCCUGAUUAUCUUGGAGGCCACCCCGAUCUGCAGAGGGGUGGCCUUUGCUGCUGCUUUUACAAAAAGCCCCAUAGAGGGGAUGCAUGACUUAUUCAGGCAAUUUGGGGGUACACGUGUACUUCCCCAACCCUAUGGAAAACGGCUUGGCUCAGAAGCCGGGCGGCUGCGGCUAGUGGAGGCCAGGUGGAAGGCGCAUGGGCGCCCCGCGGUGUACAUACUGUGCUGUGACGUGUACAUCGGGGCUGAGACGGCCCCUGUAUCACAGCGGAGGCUGCGGUGGCCCCUGGGAGAGGAGGUUUCUAUGAAUCAUUUGAGCGGAAACUUAUUUAUUGAUCGCCCAGGACAGAUGAAGGAGGCAAGGACAGGGAGUGGUUCCUGGUGUUUCACUUUUAUGUCUGAAUAAACUGA